Actinobacteria bacterium 13_1_20CM_3_68_9 is the source of this 83-nucleotide non-coding RNA. NCBI's taxonomy places the organism in Bacteria, Bacillati, Actinomycetota. The record is from Rfam.
GCCGGAGUGUCGGAAUGGUAGACGAGGGCGCCUCAAAAGCGCCUGGGCGUAAGUCCGUGUGGGUUCGAGUCCCUCCUCCGGCA